GACGAACGCUGGCGGCGUGCUUAACACAUGCAAGUCGAACGCUGAAGCUCAGCUUUUGCUGGGUGGAUGAGUGGCGAACGGGUGAGUAACACGUGAGUAACCUGCCUCCUUCUUUGGGAUAUCGCCCGGAAACGGGUGCUAAUACUGGAUAUUCACUGGUCUUCGCAUGGGGGUUGGUGGAAAGGGUUUUUCUGGUGGGGGGUGGGCUCGCGGCCUAUCAGCUUGUUGGAGGGGUGAUGGCCUACCAAGGCUUUGACGGGUAGCCGGGGUGAGAGGGUGAACGGUCACAUUGAGACUGGGAUACGGCCCAGACGGGUACGGGAGGCAGCAGUGGGGAGUAUUGCAGAAAGGGCGUAAGCCUGAUGCAGCGAGGGCGCGUGAGGGAUGGAGGCCUUGGAAUUGUGAACCUCUUGCGCUAAAGGUCAGGAAGCAACAAUGGUUGUGUUGAGGGUAGUGGAUAAGAAAGCGCCGGCUAACUACGUG
RNAcentral lists this ribosomal RNA (483 nucleotides) under uncultured bacterium. RNAcentral describes it as "partial 16S ribosomal RNA". It matches the Rfam family "Bacterial small subunit ribosomal RNA", at positions 28 to 507 of the family's 1533-position model. The record is from RNAcentral.